AACUACCCAAAGUAGACAGCAUGCAAAAGACAAUUCUUGCAAUCAUCGCCUGGACCCUCUUCGGUCUGUGUUGGUCUUCCAGCUCAAAGUAAUUUCGACGUGAAGGCUUAUAUGGGCACCUUUUACGAAUAUUCCAAGUACCCUGUUGAUUUCGAAAACGACAAUAAGUGUGUGACAGUAUCACUCCUGCGAAAAAGUCAAA
Anastrepha obliqua is the source of this 202-nucleotide long non-coding RNA. RefSeq lists it as uncharacterized. The record is from RefSeq and is a predicted model, not a curated record. The transcript has 3 exons. Lineage: Eukaryota; Metazoa; Arthropoda; Insecta; Diptera; Tephritidae.